AUAAAAUAAAUUUUAAUAUAAAAAUAUUUAAUGGGGGUUAAAGUAUUUUUAAUAGAAAAAAUUUAAAAUUUUAUAGAAAAUCAGUAUUGUGUAAGAAAUUUGAAAUAAUUUUGAAAAAAAAAUUAUAUAAAAGUAAAUUUAAUUUAUUGUAUCUUGUGUAUCAGAGUUUAUUAAAAAUUAUUUAUAAAUUAAAUUUCUCGAAUUUAAAAGAGUUAAUUAAUUAAAAAAUUUAUUGUUUCAUAAAUAUUUUAAAUAAUUAAUUUGAAAUGAAAUGUUAUUCGUUUUUAAAUAUAUCUAGUUUUUUUAAAAAAAAAUUUAAUUUUGAAUUAAAUUUUAAAAUUAAAUAAAUAUUUAUUUAAUUUUAAAAUUUAAUUAAAUAUUUUAAGGGAUAAGCUUUAAAUUAAAUUUUUAUAAUAAAUUAAAAUUAUUUUGAAAAUUUUAUAAUUUAUAUUGUUAAUAAAAUUUAAUUUAUUAUAAAUAAUUUCAAUAAAAUUAAAAUUUAAUUUAAAAAUUUAAUUUUUUAUAAAAAAAAAAUAAUAAAUUAUUUCAUAUUGGUUAUAAUGAUAAAAUUAGUAUUUAAAAUUUAUUUAUUUGUAAAUUUUUAUUUUAUAAUAAUUAUAAAAAAGGAAUUCGACAAAUAUUAUAUUCACCUGUUUAUCAAAAACAUGUCUUUUUGUUAAUAAUAUAAAGUCUAAUCUGCCCACUGAUUUAUAUUAAAGGGCUGCAGUAUAUUGACUGUACAAAGGUAGCAUAAUCAUUAGUCUCUUAAUUGGUGACUUGUAUGAAAGAUUGGAUGAAAUAUAAAUUGUCUCUAUUAUAUAUUAAUGAAUUUAAUUUUUUAAUUAAAAAGUUAAAAUUUUUUAAAAAGACGAGAAGACCCUAUAGAGUUUUAUAUUUUAUUUUAUUUAAUUUAUAUUUUUAAGUAAUAAUUUAAAUAAAAUAAAUUAUUUUAUUGGGGUGAUGAAAAAAUUUAAUUAACUUUUUUUUAUAUUAAACAUUGAUAAUUGAAUUAUUGAUCCAAUAUUAUUGAUUAUAAGAAAAAAUUACCUUAGGGAUAACAGCGUAAUUUUUUUUUUUAGUUCAAAUAAGAAAAAGAGUUUGCGACCUCGAUGUUGGAUUAAGAUAAAAUUUAAAUGCAAAAGUUUAAAAUUUUGAUCUGUUCGAUCAUUAAAAUCUUACAUGAUCUGAGUUCAAACCGGUGUAAGCCAGGUUGGUUUCUAUCUUUUGAAAAUUUUAAUAUUUUAGUACGAAAGGAUCAAAUAUUAUAAUUAAAUUAAUUUAUUUGAAUU
This 1289-nucleotide ribosomal RNA is filed under the name Polyptychus trilineatus. RNAcentral describes it as "16S ribosomal RNA". The record is from RNAcentral. Lineage: Eukaryota; Metazoa; Arthropoda; Insecta; Lepidoptera; Sphingidae.